RNAcentral lists this small RNA (28 nucleotides) under Bombyx mori (domestic silkworm). RNAcentral's name for it is "ovarian small RNA-20776". The record is from RNAcentral. Lineage: Eukaryota; Metazoa; Arthropoda; Insecta; Lepidoptera; Bombycidae.
UACCGUCCUCGCUUGGCGCCUUGCGCCU